GCUGGCGGCGUGGAUAAGACAUGCAAGUCGAGCGAGAUUUUUCGUUGUAGCAAUACGAUGGAAAGUCUAGCGGCGAACGGGUGCUUAACACGUGGGCAACCUGCCAUGAAGUGGGGGAUAGCUCGCCGAAAGGCGAAUUAAUACCGCAUGUGAUUAGAGAGGACAUCCUUUCGAAAUUAAAGUCGGGGCAACCUGACGCUUCUUGUGGGGCCCGCGGCCUAUCAGCUAGUUGGUGAGGUAACGGCUCACCAAGGCUUUGACGGGUAGCUGGUCUGAGAGGACGACCAGCCACACUGGGACUGAGACACGGCCCAGACACCUACGGGUGGCAGCAGUCGAGAAUUUUUGACAAUGGGGGAAACCCUGAUCGAGCGACGCCGCGUGGAGGAUGAAGGUCUUCGGAUUGUAAACUCCUGUCAUUGGGGAACAAGGUGCAUACGUUAACUGCGUGUGCAUUGAU
RNAcentral lists this ribosomal RNA (460 nucleotides) under uncultured soil bacterium. Its description in RNAcentral is "bacterial SSU rRNA". It matches the Rfam family "Bacterial small subunit ribosomal RNA", at positions 35 to 473 of the family's 1533-position model. The record is from RNAcentral.